ACCAAUGCAUCCUCAGAGCUCCGAGGGAAAAGCAACGACCAUGGCUGGCAGCUGAGGGAGAGAUCAGCAUCCCCAGAACUCCCUCUUGGUCUCUGUCCAGCCUUGAAGGUCUCCAUGGACCACUUUGAGCCAUAUAGGUCUGCCAAUCAGUGGCCUCUGCGCCCACGUCCGAAGCAGGAGAAAUCCAGAGAGCCCUUGGCCUCCGGAGGCGGCAGCAGGAGUGCUCUCGGAAAAGAGAGUGGGCCAGCCGGUGGGAGCCCAGCGCCCACCCACCGCUCAUCCUACAGCAGGACCAAAGCCCCCCAACCCCCAGCCUCCUGAUCCUCUCUCCAGGCCUUGGAGGAGGCUGCAGACCGGUUUAGAUACUCUGGGGUCCUAACUCAGCCCAUAGGGAUCAGAAAAGGCUUCCUGAAGGAGAAGAUACCAAGCCAAGCUGGGUUAAAGCCAAGCCCCCUGUACAUGUCUGGGCAUCCCAGAGGCUCUCACAGCCCACUCCAGUGGCUUGGACAACUGACUGCCAUCUUUGGCUAAAGACAAUGCUGGUCUCCACAGAGCACAGUAAGAGGAUCUUGUCUUGCUUUGCUUCCUCAAUGGAAGAAGCUUCAGUGGCUCCUCAUUCUCUGAUGAAGCAACUCAAACACCUCAGCCCAACUCUCAAGACCUUCCACAGCCUGGUCUCACCUGGCUCUUUAGCCUCAUUCUCAGAUUCCAUGUGAUGAGCUUUGUCAAACUGACUGGUUCCAGGUCCCCAGGGCACAGUGGCUCUGCCCUCUUCUCUGCCUGGGAGACCCUCUUCCCAUUUCCCAUAGUUAUUCUUCUAGGCAUUCUCCAGGAAGUACUUCCUGAACCCUUCCUCUUUGCCCCAACUCCUCUGGCUAGAAAUAACCUCUUGGCCCCUCUCUCUCCCUCCUGCCACCCUCAAGUUCAGGGUCAUGUGACCUAAACUUCCACUGUACUAUGAGCUGUAGGAUAAGGGCCACUUUUCAUCAUACUCCCUUCCCCCUCACCCACACACACCCCUGAAGGCCCACAUCAGUGCCCAGUUCACAAUAUGUGCAUAGUAUGUGUUGGCCAUCUUCACACUGUGAGCCAGAGGCCAGGGAGCAAGUAGGAGUCAGCACCCAGGAUGCUAGGACACUCCUGAGGCUGAGAUCUGCCUUAUCUCCACCUCGGCUGUUUCUUAAUAGGUCCCCAUGCUUCCAGCUGCUCCUUAGGAAAUCAGCCCCUCUAGGAGGUCUAGAAGCCACAUUCCUGAGACCAGAACAUGAAAAAUCUGGCCAUGUUCCCACUAGAUACAGAUGUCCACCCAGCCUCCCAUCGGGUGCCUGAAGUGUCAGCUGAGGUUUGCAUCAUCACAGCAUCUCUAAUUCCUUGCAGUCAGAAGAGAGCUGGAGAGUAUCAUACAGAGGCUGGGAGCAGUGAGAGGCAACAGGAGAAAAGCUGUGCGUGUGUCCCUGGUCCCGGGUGCCACAAGGUGCUGCAGCAUCACCAUCAAUUAACAUUGCUAUUGCAGGGAGCAUCUGAGUCCCCACUUACUUGCUGGCACUGUGCCUAGCAACUUGCCUAUAUUUUCAGUUUUAAAUCUCCUACUUCCCUGUAAGGCAGAAAUUAUAGAUCAACCUUGAUUUUACAGGGGAAGAAACUGAAGUUAAAUCGCUCAUCUAAGGUCACACUGCUAGUAGGUGGAGGGGCCCAGGAUUCAACCCCAGGCAUGCCUGACUCCAGGGCCUGUGUUUGUUCUAUCAUUACUCCUACACACAUUAGGCUUCACACAGGUUUACUCUGGAGAUACUGACAUAUUCUGUUCAUGUCUGGGGGGUAGUUACACAAGUACGUAUAAACUUAUGAUCUAUGUACUUUUCUGUGUUUAUGUUAUAACAUCAAUAAAGUUUCCUUUUUUUAA
Piliocolobus tephrosceles (Ugandan red Colobus) is the source of this 1903-nucleotide long non-coding RNA. RefSeq lists it as uncharacterized. The record is from RefSeq and is a predicted model, not a curated record. The transcript has 4 exons. NCBI's taxonomy places the organism in Eukaryota, Metazoa, Chordata, Mammalia, Primates, Cercopithecidae.